GCCUUCGUGGUGUAAUUGGAAGCACACUGGACGCGUAUUCGAGAGGUCCAGGGUUCGAGUCCCGGCGAGGGCA
RNAcentral lists this transfer RNA (73 nucleotides) under Stegodyphus mimosarum. It matches the Rfam family "tRNA". From Rfam's summary of the family: Transfer RNA (tRNA) molecules are approximately 80 nucleotides in length. Lineage: Eukaryota; Metazoa; Arthropoda; Arachnida; Araneae; Eresidae. The record is from Rfam by way of RNAcentral.